This 800-nucleotide ribosomal RNA is filed under the name Wickerhamiella nectarea. RNAcentral's name for it is "LSU rRNA". The stretch from base 173 to 800 matches the Rfam family "Eukaryotic large subunit ribosomal RNA", at positions 1 to 660 of the family's 3401-position model. Lineage: Eukaryota; Fungi; Ascomycota; Dipodascomycetes; Dipodascales; Trichomonascaceae. The record is from RNAcentral.
GCAGACGUGAAUCAUUGAGUUGUUGAACGCAUAUUGCACUUCUUUUAACGGAGAAGUAUACCUUGCGAGCGUCAUUUCUCUCUCCACACCUAGUGGGUAUUGGCACUGUACACAGUGCUCAAAACAAUCAUGCGUAUGUGUUAACCACAAUGUGCGCUUAAAACUUAACUAUUGACCUCGUAUAAGGUAAGAGUACCCACUGAACUUAAGCAUAUCAAUAAGUGGAGGAAAAGAAACCAACAGGGAUUGCCUUAGUAGCGGCGAGUGAAGCGGCAAAAGCUCAAAUUUGAAAUCUGCCUUACGGCCGAGUUGUAAUUUGUAGAUGGUAACUCUGCGACAAGUCUUUGCUCAAGUGUUCUGGAAAGGACCAUCAUGGAGGGUGAUAAUCCCGUGAGGCAUUGAUGCAGUUGCGUGUAGAGUGCUAUCGAAGAGUCGAGUUGUUUGGGAAUGCAGCUCAAAGUGGGUGGUAGACACCAUCUAAAGCUAAAUAUUGGCGAGAGACCGAUAGCGAACAAGUACUGUGAAGGAAAGAUGAAAAGCACUUUGAAAAGAGAGUGAAAAAGUACGUGAAAUUAUUGAUACAGAAGGAUAUACAAUUGGACACGGAGUCUUGGGUUCGCUGCUUCUUCGGGAGUAGUUUGUCCCUUGAUUCUUCACCAGCAUCAGUUUUGGCAGGAGGAUAAACAACAUGGAAUGUAGCUGCUUGCAGUGUUAUAGACUUGUUGCAUACUCUUUGCCGGGACUGAGGUCAGCCUUUGUAGGAUGCUGGGGUAACGAUUGUAUAUCACCCGUCUUGAAAC